RNAcentral lists this long non-coding RNA (40795 nucleotides) under Nicotiana tabacum (common tobacco). RNAcentral's name for it is "long non-coding RNA (NTAB_LNC011981)". The record is from RNAcentral. Lineage: Eukaryota; Viridiplantae; Streptophyta; Magnoliopsida; Solanales; Solanaceae.
UUUGAUUUAGUCUUAGUGUAUUGGGCCAAAGUUAAUUAGGCCAAGUUCAUGACCCAAAUCCUUUCAAGCCCAAAGCCUAAUAACCUAAAAAACCCCUUCUCCCUUUAAUAAAAACUAAGCCAGCCCCCUAGACCUAGACUAUACAAAAGAGGCAGCCGUUUAUCAUUUGAACCAUCACCCAAAGGGACUCCUCAUCUCAACAUCAUCUUCUUCAAAUCUAACGCACAAAAUCAGCAUCCAUCUUCAACACUAAAAGAGGAACAAUCUAAAAACACUUAUUUUGAAGCUCCCAGCUGUGACCCUUCUAGCUAUAAUGACCCCUCAACAUCUUCAACCUUACACCACAGCCACCCUUAUCGAUCUCCAUUCACCCCUGCACCCCACCUCCUUAAGGUACGAGAAAAUGGCCUCACCAACACAUCCAUUAAUUGACUAAUAUGUGCUGGAAUUGGAUUCCAGUUCGACUGUGGUGAGGUUGAUUGAGGCAAUCAAGUUUGAUUUUUGGUCCGAGUUCUCAUCGUGCUGUAAUUUUUGAAGAUUUGAAUAUACCGGAAAGUGAUUCUAGGUCCAUGUCCUUUCUCUUUAUCUUACUAUUUGGUCUGAUUAUAAGUAUGAUAAGAGUUUUUGUUUGAAAUGGGUUUAGGCUUGGUAAUUUCCUCAUUAUCUAUUUCUUUAGAGUAGUUCAACACUAAUUUAGUUUUACUCCAGAUCUGACUUUAGCUCCAAAUGCUUGAAUCCAUGUUCAAUAUAUUUAAAUAUGUCAUGUCUGAAAAAUGUUGUUUCUGGUAGUACCGUGAUUUGCAUGGUUCCGUAUUUGAUUAAUCUAAACUCAAUAUUUGAGAUAAUAUCUUGUCAUGUGUUUGGACUUAACUGUUUAAUUUUAGGAUAGUUUUCCAAUACAUGUUCCUUUCGUUACUUUGCUAGUCUUUCUUGUAAAAUUGUUUAAAAAUAUCAGUAGUAGUAUAACUUUGUGGAAUAAUUUAACCUUGUCUUCAUGUGUUUGGAUUUAAGUUAAGAUUGGCAUGGUAUUAUGAUACAUCUACUGUAAAUAUACUUUAGCAUGUUAACAUAUGUUGCUGAAAAUUUCUUUCGACACUUUUGGGAAUCCAGUUUAACCAGGAGUAAUUAAUUAUUUGAGUAAUCCGUUAUGAACGAAAGUUCCCCAAUCUUCUUUGCUGCUUGUCAUGAGUUUUCGUUGAUCUAUCAGAGUGUAAAGGAAAUUUUACCUGUUUGACAUUAUAGUUUUAGUGGGAUCAUUUAGACUUAUUUAGGUGAAUUACGAGUGUCAUUUAGGAGUAAUAUAUUCAUAAAGGAUCUCACAAUGACCCCCAUAGAGUUGGCUAGACUAAUCUUGAAGCAGCAAUCAUCUCCUGCAUCGCUUCUGCCAUAGAAUCAAUUAUCUCUUUAUCCCCACAGCUCUGGUCAGAAGCUGUCACGACCUAGAUUUCCCACCCUCAGGAGUUGUGAUGGUGCCUACUAGUGAAAGCUAGGAUAACCAACCGUUUGAACAAUUUACUUUUUCCCAUUUUUAAUCCUUAACCAAUUAGGAACCAACAAUUUACAAACAGCGGAAGAAACAAAUAAAACCAUUUAAAUAUUUCAAAUAUAAUUUCUUAAACAAAGACUACCCAGAACUGGUGUCACAACUUCACAGACGAUCUUGGAAUACUACCAACAAGUUUUGAGAAAAAUAAAUGCGACAUUGUUUCUAAAAUAAAAAAAUGAAACAGGAUGAAAGGAUAGGGGAGACGCCAGGGCCUACGGAUGCCUACAGGACUACCUUGGAUCUCUGUAUGGACUGAAGGCAGCCACCCAUGCUAAGGUCCAAAAGUUGAUGCGCCGGGAUCUGCACACAGUGCAUAGUGUAGUAUCAGCACAACCAACCCCACAUGCUGGUAACUGCCUGCCUAACCUCGGUGAAGUAGUGACAAUGCUAGGACUAGACUACCAAAUAAACCUGUGCAGUUAAAUCAAAUACGAUGGAAAGUAAAAGCAGGAAUGUACAGUUAGGAAUGGGAGGGGAAAACAUGUUGUGGGGAAACAUCAAUUAAAAAUAGAAAGAUAGCAAGUAAUUAUGAGGAACACCAUGUCUCAAUUAUCCACAAGAAUCAGAAAUCAAACCAGUGCACGGCAUCACCCUUCGUGUUUUUACUCUCGUCCUCACCAUGAGAAUCCAUAUAAACUGCACUGCAUCACCCUUCAUGCUUUUACUCUCAUCCUCACCAUAAAAUCAACAUAAUCGGCAUGGAAUUGUACAUUGUGCGGCACGGCAUCACCCUUCGUGCUUUAACACUCUCCCACAAAAACAAUGUACGGCAUCACCCUUCGUGACUUAACACUCUUCCUCACCCAAACAACAAUCACAAGAAAUAUAGGCAAGGAAAUAAAUGAAAUCACAAUAAAAUUUCGGCAAGGGAACAAUAGUACAACAAUCAAAUCCCGGCAAGGGAACAAUGUCAAAAACAUCAACAUCCCGGCAAGGGAUAUAGCAUUGAAAGCAACAACAUCCCGGAAAGGGAGACAAUAUACUAAUCCUCUUCUCUUUUUCACAUUUACUUUACAAUUCACUUCACAACUUGAGCCAAUGCUCUAUAAGGUUCAAUUGCCAAUUAUACUUCCACAAUUCAUUAUACAACUUGAGUCAAUGCUCUUCAAUACUCAAAUACUACUAUUACUUCCACGAACUUUGCUCAAUAAUAGGAAUCAUCACAAAAGGCACGAAUAGUACAACGGAGUCAUAAAAAUCAUAAUAUAAGACUCACGGGCAUGCUUGACACCAACGUAUAGAUAAUCGUCACCAUGCCUAUACGUCAUACUCUACAAAUAACACAUAGCAAAUAGAACACAACUCCUAAUCCCUCAAGCUAAGGUUAGCCCAAACACUUACCUCGAUGCCACGAACACAAUUAAAGUCUCAAAUAUCGCUUUACCUAUUGAUUCCACCAUCAAUUCACUCAUAUCUAGCCACAAGUUACUUAACUAUAUCAAUAAAUUUUAAAUGAAUUAAUUCCAAUGCAUGAAAAUAGGUUUUCUAAAGUUUUUUUCCCAAAAGGUCAAAAAUCGCCCCCGUGCCCAGAUGGUCAAAACCCGAGGUUCAAACCAAAACCCAAUUACCCAUUCCCCCAUGAACUCAAAUAUAUAAUUUGUUUCGAAAUCGGACCUCAAAUUGAGGUCCAAAUCCCCAAAAUUUGAAAAACCUAGGUUCUACUCAAAACACCUAAUUUUCCCCCAUGAAAACCUUUGAUUUGAGUUGAAAUCAUAAGAAAAAAUGUUAAAUAUUAAAUAAAACGAGUUAUAAAUGACUUACAAUCGAUUUGGAAGAGUACUUGUCUUUGAAAAAUCGCCCAAGAUUCUUUUAGUUUUGAAAGGGUUUGAAAAAUGAAAGAUUUUCGGCUAAGUUAUGAAUUUGCAGGUUGCAGAUGUCGCAAUUGCGACUAGGGCUCGUAAUUGCAAACCCUUCAGAAGUCUUCUAUUGUCGCAUUUGCGACUAAUGUUCGCAAUUGCGAACUCACUUUUGCAAUCCGAUUGCCGCAUUUGCGACACUGGAGGAUUCCAGGCCAUUUUGCAAAUGCGAUGGGCCCUUCGCAUUUACGACAUCGCUUUUGCUAUGACUAUGUCGCAUUUGCGACCCCAAGGCAGACCAAGUAUUCUUCGCAUUUAUGAGAAAAGUUCGCAUAUGCGGGCUCGCGUUUACGAAGUCUGCAGACCUACAACAUACCAACUAAAAACCUGCAACUCAUUAAGUUAAAUUCCACUCUGUGGCCUAUCCAAAACUCAUCCGAGCUCUCGAGGCUGCAAACCAAACAUGCACACCAACCUAAAAACAUCAUAUGGACUUGCUCGUGCAACAAAAUCAUGAAAAUAACAUGUAAAACUAUGAAUUAAACCUCAAAACUCAUUAUUUUCAUCAAGAACACUUUAAGGUUCAUAACUCUUCGACCGGAGGUCCAAAUCACAUUAAAUACACUCCAUUUUUUACCAAAUUUUAUAGUUAUCAUUUAAAUACUAAAACAAGUUUGUACAGGGCUUCGAAACCAAAAUACGGGUCCGAUACCAAUGGUUUCACACAUUAAUUCUUUUCUUUAUUUCAUAAAUAAUUCAGCAAUACAAUUUCUUUCAUAAUUUGAUUUCUGUGGCUUGGGACCUCGGAAUUCAUUUUCGGGCAUACGCCCAAGUCCCUUAUUUUACUGCGGACCUCCCGGGAUUGUCGGAACACAGAUCAGGGUCCUUUUUCUUGAAAUAUUGACCAAAGUCAACCAUAAUCAAAUUUUUAACUCUAGAAAUUUCUAUUUCCCAUAUUUUUACAUAAAAGGAUUUCCGAAUAUAGGUCCGAACCACACAUGCAAAUCGAGGUAAAGUAAAAAGGAGGUUUUAAGGCCUCAGAACACAGAAUUUAUUUCUAGAACAAGUGAUGACCUUUUGGGUCAUCACAGAAGCAGGAGCUAUAUCUGAUGAACACUUCCUCUUUUUACAAGCUACAUUCCUUGUUGUAGUUUGUUGUGAGGUAGAAGCGCUAUGUAAAGGUGUUGGAGAUGAAGGAUUUACAGGAGCCAAGUUGCUAGUUUCUUUACUGUUCCAAUGUGCUUUGGAUAUCAUGUCUAUUUUGGAUGAUUAUUGCGUUUACUUUAAAUUUGUUAUGAUGAAUAUAUGGUCGUGGGUUGGCUAUUAGAAGUUUGAAAGAAAUUUUUGUUGAACAUGCUCUUUGUUUUACUUUAUUUAUUUACUUCUUUAACUGUUAGGAGUAUGUUAGGCCGACAAUACUCGGGUAGGCGAACUUCUAGGCGCGCUUUGAAUUUAUUAUCGUGAUUAUAUACACGUUCUCUUGACAUGAUUAUGAUUUCUAAAAUAAACAUUCGUAGUUUGUUUUAGGCGUGACUUAGUUUAUUACCGUGAUUAUGUAUACGUUCACGUAACAUAAUUAUGAAUUUCGUUCUAAAAUAAAUCGAGGGAUGCGUUCAUGCAACUUCAAUCAAACUUUCUUAAUAAUUAAUAAAGCGUGAUUAAUUGUGGACAUGUACACGUGACAUGAUUUUUGAUGCGCCAAACGAAAUGAGUACAUGUACGUAUGACUCAAUUCUUUAAUUAUGAAUAAAUCAAGUGAUUAAAAGUGGUAAAAAGAUAAAAUUACAUAGGUUCUAAAAUGAGUAUUUAAACAAUUUAAGCCAAGUAUAAAUUGCUAAACAACUGUGCUAGUACCACAGAACCCUGGAAUGCCUAACACCUUCUCCCGGGUUAACAAAAUUUCUUAUCUAGAAUUUUUGGUUCGUAGACUUUUAAAUAAAGUCAAAAUUUUCCUUGAUUUGGGAUUUAAAAAUAAGUCGGUGACUUGCGACACCAAAUAAACUAUUCCAAGUGGCGACUCUGAUAAAUUAAAUAAAAUAAUCCCAUUUCGAAUAAUGUCACUUUAAUUGGAAAAACUCCCUUGAAUACCCUCUCAUGGUAGAAAAAGGAGGUGUGACAAGGAUAGGUGAGGCACUGGGUGUUGGUCUCACCCCAAGGUUUGGGGCGGAACAAAAGUGGUACCAGAGCAGUUCUAUCCUAGGGAGUCUAUAAGGUGUGUCUAAUAGAGUCUUGUUUAUGGGUGUGUCAUGCACCAAACUUAUAAGCAGAAGGCUACAGGGCAUUUAAGACUGCCACUCUUUCUUCUUACUCUAGAUCGUGUGGUAGAGCUUAGUUGUAAGAGCUAAAUUUUCUAAACUCUAUCUUAUUCCUAAUACGAUGAUGCCUACAUUUAGAAAGAUGGUUUGUAAGGGAUUGAAUGCAGUUACGAAAGAGUUGAGUCAGAAGAGCUUGGUGAGCUUCUAGAAAAGGAGCCUUAAGGCAAGAAUAGCUAUCCACCUUUAUGGUUAAAAACAAUGAGAGAUUUAGAAGAUAAAUACAAGUUUCAACAAGUAACGGAAGCAAAGUGAAAGAGGGUACGAGGUGCUCAGCAAAGAAAAUUAUCCUUACUUACCAUUCAGGAAGGGAGAUAUAAGCAUUUUGAGUUACCUUCAAUAGUAAUAGAGGUAUGUACAAUUGGUCACACCGAUCUAAGUUAGGCUCUAUGGGAGAUAACAAAUAUGGUUUAAGAGAAUGACGUAAUAUCACAAUCCGGCUGGGGUCAGAGUGACCCAAAAUGGUGGAUGAAUUAUUUGCAUUAGUAGACAUUGCCGAAGGAUAUUGCAAAUGUGCUAAUAGAUCUCCCUGUGAGACACCCAGAUGGUGCACUCUAAAAUAGUACAGAUAGAUAUGAGUACUACGAAGAUAGGCACUAAAAGCCUGGAAUGGAUAAAUAUUACCUUAGUGUGACUCUUGUCCCUAGUAGAGCGAGGAUAUUAGAAACCCGAAGAGCCGAUAAAUGAAGCAAGAGGAGCUAAAAGCAAAAGAAUGUCUUUUUAAAGUUUUCACGAGAAAGGGAUAGGCAGAAAUAUUAGCAGAGUAAUGAGAAGAGAGAUAAGGAAGAAUUAUGAGUAAGAUAUGAUACAUGAAUGACAACGAUGGAAAAAUAAAAUCAAAUGACAGUAUUACAUAGUCGAUAAUCGAGGAAAUAAAAAAAUGAGGGGUGCCAGGCCUGGAGAGACCAAAAAGAGUAUAGGCCAUACAGUCACAUCCUUAUUUUGAGAAAUAAGUUCGCGACUCUAAUGUGAUUAACAGAAGGGAAAGUUAGACUCUAGAGUAAUAGAAAUCAGCAUGGACUAGUGAACAGGAUAACCUAAACAUGAAUUAGGAAUUGAGUGAUUUGAUAAUAGUAAGCAUCAUGAGAAUUUCAUAUUGCGUUCGGGCAGUAAUAGAAUGGACAACAAAAAAAUAUCCAUGAGAAAUUCAAAGAAUUGUCAUUCAGGAAGACUUUUCCCUAAAGCAAGCAAUGGGAGCAAAGUUAAGCUUAAGGGAAUGUAUGUGCCAGUUACACUAAGUGUCACCAUCGCGAGUAAAGAAUUUAGUUAUCUUUGGUAUAAAAGGAUUACCGCAAGGCGAGUAAGGGUCAUCAAUGAUGUGAAAGGAUGCCGAAGAUGAAGAGGUAAAACAUGAAUGAUGUGGCAUUAAGUCAGAAUUAAGUGGAUCUAGCAACUAUGGAAUGAUAAAGGAAGAAUGCGAUAAAAAUGAGAAGAGGAUGAGAUUGCACUUAUUCAAAUGUUACAAAUAUGCUAUGAUUCCAGAACAUUAUGCAAGCACAACGUCAAGAAAAGGAAGUACGGGUUCCUACCCGGGAUGUUAUUAAUAGAUAAUGAGCCAGUAUGUGAGGUAAGUUAAGACAAAGGAAAUAACCCAAGAAAGAUUAUGCAGAAUAUGGAUAUGAGAAUGGGCCAACGAGUAGUUAGUAGUUGAUUCAGGAAGAGCCUAGUCAUGACUAGACAAGAGGUUAUAGACAAAUCAACAGAUCAUGCGAGAUAAAUAUAGUGAGCCCCAACAUGGAGAAUUCAACCCCGUAGUAAUGUCAUUAUAAUACUUGUGAUAUAUUCAAAUAGGAGUCAGGUUAGUUAAAGGUACUGUAUGAGUGUUACGGGGAUAAAAGAAAGUACCACUGGUAAGACAGCCAAAAUAUCAAUUCAGGAUCAACCCUACACGCACAAGGGCAUGGAGGUAAGCAACUACAGAUGAUUAUAGGCAAGGAAGGACAUCAAAAGGUCCGUAAUAAGCUUACAGCUUUACAAGAGUCUCCCAAAAUACUACAACGAAAGACUAGCUAAGGAAAUAAGGAAGAAGGUUGCAACAUAAGCACAAUAACCUAAAGAGGAAAUGGUCGUGUAACAACAGUCUCACAACAACGUUGUAAGCACUCCAAAGGACAGUGGCACCUACCGUGGAUAAUGAAUGGGAAGUAAAAUUAAUAGUAAUAUUUAAGAUCAUAUGAAUUGCACAAAACCUCCCGCAUGCGUGGGAACUAAGAUAAGAUAUGUAUGCACGCAAUAAGGGGGCAGAAAGACCAGGAAAAGUAAUAGCUUACGUUAAGGAAAGCUAAGAAAGAAUGAAAGGAAAUAUUGGAUCAAUGAUCCUGAAUUACUUAUGUUACGAACAUACUUAAGAGUUUGUAUAUGCCAUGCAGCACGUAUGUUGACAAUCAUAUAGUCGUAGAAGACUCCGGUAUAAGUUAAAGGAAAGAAUUGAGUCCAGGUCAUAGACAAAGGAUUGAAUUGUUAGAAGAUUGUAUCCUGAACAUUCCAUAGCGUCCAUGAAAGGGCUAAAGUAAUACCAUGAGCCGCGGAUUGGAAGAUGGCUUAAGCCUACAUAAAGGAUAAUCAGAAGGAGGAGAAAAUUAAAGAGUUACAUCAACGAAGUAAAUCAGGAGUUUUAUUAUUGGACCCAGAAAACUACAAAAAAAAAUCAUGCUUGAGAAUAUUGCAGAAUUAAUCAUUACAUCAAAGGUACAAGAGAGAUAGUACAACAACUAUAUUUUAUAAUGGCUCUACGAUAUAUCCAGCUAGAAGAAGUAUCAGCCUCAUAAGAAGUCAUUUUGAAGCUCCCACCGAAUUGUGUAUUCCCCAGAGGUGAAAGUAUUAUAAUAGAGCUUCAAGUUGUGAACGUGAAUUAUAGCUAUGUGGAAGGGAGGUAAUGAAAGAGAUAAAAGAUACGAAUUAAGAUUUUAAGCUAUGAAAGGUAAAGGUGAACAACGUACGAGAUUCUCAAAUGCAGAAGGUUGCGAAUAAUCCAUACUACGGAUAAAAGGCUAAGAAGGGGGGAUUCAGUAUCCAAGAAUGAUAGCAUCGUUGUCAGUGGCAUACCUUCCAGCUUAUGCCUUCUAAGUACCAAAAAGUCUAAUUAGAGAGUAAAGGAAGAGUUAGAGACGAUGCGAUGUAUCACUUGAUGUUCCAGAAAAGCAUAAGGGAAUCGAUCGCAAGCUAAAGUAUGAUAGAACGACAAGGUUUAGAAAGACAAGAGUAAGGAUAAGAAGAAAGAAAGUGAAAAGGCGACGAAAAUGGAUAAUUCCUCGAGAUUAAGACCGUGAUAACAAGGGAACUGAUGGUUCCUCUAAGUUAUAGAAAGCUCAAUAUAGCCUAAAUGAACUCAAAGGAGUCUAAGACUAGUAGCAUUUGUGAGGGUGUAAUUGUGAUAAAUAAAGGAUGACGUUUGGGCCUUCACUUGAGUAAUGAUUUGAAGGGGAAAAAAGGAAGAGGAUUUCAUGAAUUUUAAGGGACUAAAAUACUCAUAUAAGGUGAGUCACAUUGGAAUGCUAAAAAUUACGGUUAUGGAAGUAUAGUAUCACCCCUAGGUGGAUCAAUCUAAUUACUCCAGAUGUCCCCGGUGAGACGUGAGCCCUAGCGGUGGUGUUACAUAAAAGAUCAAGUUAUUAGUGUUAGAUGAUGAAUCAAUAUUAAGGUGAAUCAACAAUAUAUGGAUAAAAGUUCAAUAGUAUGAGAUGAGAUUAGACCAUCAGUCUUAAGGAUAAGCAACGAGAGUAACCUGGAGUUGGUUGCAGACCUCAAAUAGAAGUAAGAAUUAUGGUAUAGUAUGACCUACGUAGAUACAGUAAAGUCAUGUGAAUGGAUAACUAGGUCUAUGAAAUAAUAUAUAGCCAUAUUCGCAAGUUUUACAAAGUAUCGAGCAAGGAACUUCGGUACACCUAUAGAUGUCUAGAGAGGCAUCCUAUUAAGAAUUGUAAAUGUUUACAAAGUAAGGCCUAGAGAUUGACUAAAAGCUAGAGGAAAAAGGAGAGAAUAAUCACAUAGGCACACUUACAAGGUCAGUAUCGUAGAGGCUGCAUGAUAGGAGGUAGCACCAGUUAUGAGACUGGAAGGAAUUCGAUCACAAGCCAUGCCGUAGGAAAGAGGCCUAAAAGGAGGAAUGCCCUGGCCUUUGGAUUUAUUCAAAGAACAGUUGCCUAAAUAGAAAGGAGAAUAUUAAAGUAUUCUCAAGAGCUAUGGGUUAUGAGAAUGAUAAGUGCAUCAACCAACAUUCGAAGAUGAAUGUUCCAAUAGGGGGAAUGAUGUAACCCCCCAAUAUUAUGUUGAUAUUACGUCUUGCAAUACUAUAUUACGAUUAUGUUAUGCCUUGCAGUAUUACAUUACGAUAAUGUUACACCUUGUAGUAUUACAUUACGAUGAUGUAGGUAAUUGACAUCAGUCCAAGGAAAAGAUUAUUUGGAGAUUAUAUGGAUUAUGCUAUUUCAAAUAAGUGAUGAGUAAAUUCGUGAAGGUGAGAGGGGAAGCAAGUCAAAGAAAAUGAAUUUUCGUUCAAGUUUGGCAUGUUUGGAUAAAAUACGGUCCGAGCUAUAAUACCCAAUACUUAUGGACUAGUACCAUGCAAGGUACCAUAUGACCAUGGUAGUAUGAUGUAUAAUGUAUAUUAAAAAUAAGUAAAAUUUUAAGUAAUUUGAGAUAAUCUUUAAUUAUGCGGGUAAUUGGUUAAUUACCGGGUAACUGAACAUAAGUGAUAAAGAUUAAAUAAAAAAACCCACCCCACCCCAAGUGGCAACAAUCCACUAGAAAUUAAGUAACUCAUGGUCACAAUGAAUUAGGUGUCACCUUGAUAAAUUAGUGGCAAGACACCUCCACUUUAAUGCUUUCAAACAACCUUGCAAAUUCAUUUUCAAUGUUUCAAUAUUAAGAAAGAACGUGACAUUCUGAUAUUUGAACAAUGCAAAGUGAUUUCUAUAAUACAUCAUGGUUUUUAUAAUUUCAACAAUUCCACGAGAAUUUUUAGAAUUUUAGCAAUGGAGAAAUUUCGCAGUUCUAACGAAGUACGGUGCAAUCUUUUUCAAGAAUAUUAUGCAGAUUUUUUCCUACUCCAGGUAUGUUAAGGAUAAGUUCUUCCUUCAUUUUGCAUGAUCUCGUAAUUACAAAAGUUUGAUAACGAGUCAUAAAGAAAAAUUCAUAUCCCGGAAUUUACGUAUAUUUUCCUAGUUUUGUAAGUUACAAUAUUCUCCUUAUCGGGUCUUCAUAUUUAAUUAAGUAUUUCCUUUUUUCAGUCAAGAGAGCAGAGAGUUUAUAUAUAUAGUAUUAAAGUAUUUUCAUUACCAUCGAGCUAUAAUCGAUGGGCAGGCCGCUAUUGGCAACCUCUGAUCAUAUGGUAAGUUAUAUACCGAUCCUACUGUGGUCGAGCGCCUAUGAACGAGCCCAGUUGGUCGAGAUACAGAGCCUNNNNNNNNNNNNNNNNNNNNNNNNNNNNNNNNNNNNNNNNNNNNNNNNNNNNNNNNNNNNNNNNNNNNNNNNNNNNNNNNNNNNNNNNNNNNNNNNNNNNNNNNNNNNNNNNNNNNNNNNNNNNNNNNNNNNNNNNNNNNNNNNNNNNNNNNNNNNNNNNNNNNNNNNNNNNNNNNNNNNNNNNNNNNNNNNNNNNNNNNNNNNNNNNNNNNNNNNNNNNNNNNNNNNNNNNNNNNNNNNNNNNNNNNNNNNNNNNNNNNNNNNNNNNNNNNNNNNNNNNNNNNNNNNNNNNNNNNNNNNNNNNNNNNNNNNNNNNNNNNNNNNNNNNNNNNNNNNNNNNNNNNNNNNNNNNNNNNNNNNNNNNNNNNNNNNNNNNNNNNNNNNNNNNNNNNNNNNNNNNNNNNNNNNNNNNNNNNNNNNNNNNNNNNNNNNNNNNNNNNNNNNNNNNNNNNNNNNNNNNNNNNNNNNNNNNNNNNNNNNNNNNNNNNNNNNNNNNNNNNNNNNNNNNNNNNNNNNNNNNNNNNNNNNNNNNNNNNNNNNNNNNNNNNNNNNNNNNNNNNNNNNNNNNNNNNNNNNNNNNNNNNNNNNNNNNNNNNNNNNNNNNNNNNNNNNNNNNNNNNNNNNNNNNNNNNNNNNNNNNNNNNNNNNNNNNNNNNNNNNNNNNNNNNNNNNNNNNNNNNNNNNNNNNNNNNNNNNNNNNNNNNNNNNNNNNNNNNNNNNNNNNNNNNNNNNNNNNNNNNNNNNNNNNNNNNNNNNNNNNNNNNNNNNNNNNNNNNNNNNNNNNNNNNNNNNNNNNNNNNNNNNNNNNNNNNNNNNNNNNNNNNNNNNNNNNNNNNNNNNNNNNNNNNNNNNNNNNNNNNNNNNNNNNNNNNNNNNNNNNNNNNNNNNNNNNNNNNNNNNNNNNNNNNNNNNNNNNNNNNNNNNNNNNNNNNNNNNNNNNNNNNNNNNNNNNNNNNNNNNNNNNNNNNNNNNNNNNNNNNNNNNNNNNNNNNNNNNNNNNNNNNNNNNNNNNNNNNNNNNNNNNNNNNNNNNNNNNNNNNNNNNNNNNNNNNNNNNNNNNNNNNNNNNNNNNNNNNNNNNNNNNNNNNNNNNNNNNNNNNNNNNNNNNNNNNNNNGGGACACUAUAACCCCAAUGUGAAGAGGCAAUUUGAUAGAAAGAGGGGGGGGGGGAAUUCUUCACAAGCAAGCUGCCGGAGGCCAAUGAGCACUUGGUCAAGGAGUUUUACGCCAACAUUGCCCACAUAAAAAGGGGCACCUAUGUGACCAAGGUGCAGAACCAGAAGAUCAUAUUUGAUGGCAAGAUGUUGAAUGACUAUGCUAGGUUUAAUGACGAGGAUGAGUCCUUGUGUUUGGAGAAGGUAGCGAUGGAUGAGUUAGCUCGCCCGUGGCUGGCGUUAGUGAUUGCUCUCCUAGGGAAUACUCCAGCUUGGCUGACACCCAGGGUCCCAAUCUAUAGGAACACAUUGAUCUUUGAGGCGAAGGGUUGGGAAACGUUUGUGUGCAGCCGGUUAGACCCCACUACACAUGAUAGUGAUAUGCUGGUCUCCCGGGCUAUUAUUGUGGGGUCCAUCAUGGCGGGGUUCCGGAUCAACAUCAGAAUAUUAUAUCAAGGGUUAUCACUAGAGUGGUCAACAAGAAUGAGAGCUCAUACCCUUUCUCGAACUUUCUCACCAUGUACCUGGAAGAUCAGGAAGUCGAGGGAAGGGACUUUGAUACGAAGGUGAAACCAAAGAGACCAUUCUCCUGGUAUAGACUUCAGGGUUCCGACAACCCCAAGUCCAAGGGCAGAGCUUCCACUUCCAUUGGUCAAUCUGAAAGGCUAGGGGUGGUGGCCACUGGUUCCAAGCCUCCCACUGUCAUACCACAUCCUCCAUCCGGACCAUCUACUUCAAUGCCUUUUUCGGUGCCUUCUUCAUCAACUUACCCUCUCGCUGCACUGAGGGUUAACCAGACUCUGUCUAGCAUCAACAAUUGGAUGUAGGCAGCUACAUCAAAGUUGUCUGUCAUAACCAGCGUAGUGGCAGCUUAGUCAGCUCCGGCACAGCCUCAAGUGCCAGAUUUCGUGGAGGAAUCACUAAAGGAGCUUCUAGACAACCAGAAGAAGCUCCUAGACAACUAGAAGAUGAUUAUGGCCACUUUUGAGGCACAGGGAAAGGCAAUAACGAACCUGAGCAAGAAAACAAAGAAAAUGAAGUAAACUCGGGCUUCCAAGGAGUCGGUAAAACUGCUGAGGAAGGAGGUGGAAAAAAUUAGAUCAGUUGGAGACAUCCCAUUGGAGCUACUAUUGGAGGAACCAGUUCCAGCAGCUCAGGCACCGGAGUAGGAGGCUGAUAGACCGCCUAUGGGGAGAGGGGUGAUUCCCCAAAUUGAGGACUUAGAGAUUGAGCUGGAGGACCUGAGGGAGGAGUCUCAGACCAGCCACAGGACUCAGAGGGAGCUGACCUCACUGAUGUGCAGGAUCCGAUGCAGACCACAUAGGGAGUCUUCUUUACUCUCUAACCCCUCUUUGAUCUUAUUUUUGUUUUUAGCAUUAAGGACAAUGCUAUUUUUAUUUGGGGGUGGUCCUAUUUUGAUUGAUACUGGAAUGUAAUUAUGAUACUUAUUUUUUGUUAUUGUUAUUUUUCACUUUUGGUAUGCAUAUAACUUUACCAUUUAUUUUCACUUUUCGUUAUUUUUCAAUUUCGGUAUGUAUAUAAAGUUACCUUUCCAUGUAUAUAUUCAUUACAUUUUAUGUAUAUUCGUCUCAAUCCCCUAUUGUACAUAUUCAGUUUACUUUCCGUAUUUUACUUUAUAACUUCUUUUGUAAUUUUUCCGUAAUAACAUAGCUUCUUAUUUCAUUUAGUAGCUUCUUACUUUUACAAGUUUUUGUGAUCAAUAAGCCUUUAGUUUUCUUAAUUCCACGGUUCUUUCCAAAGGUGAAAUUUAUGUGAACCGGGUGGGUCUUCCCGAUGAUGGAUGGCAUGACAAUCUUCUUAAGGGUUUUAGUCUGUUUUCUUUAUGUUUUUGUGUAAAUAAUAGUAAUGAAUAAAAGUAUCUCAGGCAGAGCUUCACUUGGACCUAACAUAUUUACUUUUGACCUUAUGAUUAGAAAUAAGUUGAUUUGAAAAGAAUGGUGCUAGUUUUGACCUUUAGACUCUUGUGUUGACUAAACAAUCAUCGAGUGGUUUUUGGAGACCAUUUGUGUUGCUCAAUCCUAGCUAAGGUUUUUGUGGGCCCUCGAUUCUAUUCUCUUUAGCAAUCCAAUAGCUUGUGAGGUGAGGUUUUGAUUUACAAGACCAAGUCCCGUACCAAUAAGUCUAGAACUUGCCCUGAUUGUUUGUUAGGCGAAAUUCUAAGUGUAGCUCGACUUGAGAAAUGAUUAUAGGAUCUCUUUGUUCCAAAUUGAAACUCAAAAGCAUCCAUAGCCCACCAAAUAUGAUAUCCCUAGUCAACCCCGUUGAGCCGAAGUCCUUGUUCUUUCAAUAACCAUGAUACAAGCCUUUAUCCGUUCUAAAAUGACCCUCUCUUGGCACCCGAUCUUUCCUUAGCACAAUUGGAAAAAGCAUAAUUUUGGGGGGAGAGACGAGGAAUGAAAAAUUGAUAAAAGGUACAAAAUGAAGAAAAGGGAAGGCAAAAGAAAAAAAAUCCAAAAAGUCAAAAAGAAAGUGAACAAUGUAGAAAACAAAAAAAGGGAUUCAAUAAAAGCAAUGAUGAAAGGCUUGGAAUGAUUAGAAAGGAGAAAAAUGAUUGUCAUGAACAUGAAAUAGUGAUAGUGUGUGUCUCUCUAGUACCCUACGGAAGAAGAAAAGGACUCAAAGAGUCAAGAAAGUGUGAGCCGAAAUGAGAAAAUGAAGUGCUUAAGGAAAGAUGGAACCUACAUAGACCGAUAUAUCCUACCUUGAACCAAAAGCCUUCAUUACAUUCCUACAAAAGCCCUAUAUGAUUACGAGUUGAGUGAGCUUACAUUAGUGGUGAUUCACAUGUUGAGGGUAAUUGUUAGUCUCAAUUGAUGCUUGCUGAAGUCACCUUAGAACAACUGAAAUUCUUCUUUCUUUUACCUUGUGGAGGUGGGAAUUACUUUGUUUGCUUGAGGACAAGCAAAAGCUUAAGUUUGGGGGAGUUUAUAACUACAGAUUUUAGCCUAUCUUAUGCUCUCUUUAAUUAAGUUUUGGUUCAAAAAUGUGUAAAAGUAUUCCCGAAAACUAACUUAUUAUGCUUGUUUGCAGGGUUUGGUCAAAAUGAGGCAAGAAAGUUAUAACCAACUCAUAAAGGAGUUAAACCUGCACAAGUUCAAAGCAGAGAUAAAAGCACUGAUAGUGAUGAAAUAGUAUGGCUGCAGAAGGUUCACCGAUGAGGUAGUCACAAUUACGCUCCCAGCGAAAUUAAGAUUCAGAGAAGGCAUUUGCGGAUACAACAGAUACUGCUGACCUCGGUGAAAUAGUGCGGCAGCGGAAUACUUGACGCGGCUGCAAUGCUAAAUCCGUUGAGGGCAAAUUAAAUAUUCAGAGGCCUGGAAAUUUGAGCUUAAAUGAAAAGCGCGGCCCGUGAACAUUUAUGCGGCCGCGGUUGAAGACAAUGCUGGGGUGGUGUCUUUUACGCGCCCAGCAAAAUGAUGCCCAGCCCCAGUCCAAAAUGGAAGAAACGCGAUCCGUUAAAGGGUUGAAAUGAUUAGAAAGGAGAAAAAUGAUUGUCAUGAACAAGAAAGAGUGACAGUAUGUCUCUCUAGUCCCCUAAGGAAGAAGAAAAUGACUCAAAGAGUCAAGAAAGUGUGAGCUGAAAUGAGAAAAUGAAAUGCUUAAGGAAAGAUUGAACCUACAUAGACCGAUAUAUCCUACCUUGAACCAAAAGCCUUCAUUACAUUCCCACAAAAGCCUUAUAUGAUUUCGAGUUGAGUGAGCUUACAUUAGUGGUGAUUCACAUGAUGGGCAAGCUUAUGGUACUUAGAGUCGGACUUGUGACCUUCCUUUGAGAGAUAUGAGUGUAUUUUACCACAAUCUUUGUUCUGAGUGCUAUAAUCUUAAGUGAGAUUUUGCUUAUGGAGAGUGAAGGAGAAAUAUUUUGGGUUCCACAGCGACAUACGUAGUAGAGCGAGCUUCCUUGAUGAGUUAAGCCAACUCUUGAUGCUCUUGUGUUGCACUAUAGUUAUGGUGCUAAAGAGGUUGUGUGUUGUUGAUAAUACAUUUGUGUUGAGGGUAAUUGUUAGUCCUAAUUGAUGCUUGCUGAAGUCACCUUAGAACAACUAAAAUUCUUCUUUCUUUUACCUUGUGGAGGUGGGAAUUAUUUUGUUUGCUUCUUAAGUUUGGGGGAGUUGAUAACUACGGAUUUUAGCCUAUCUUAUACUCUCUUUUGCUUAGAUUUUUUUCUGAAAACUAACUUACUGUGCUUGUUUGCAGGGUUUGGUCAAAAUGAGGCAAGAAAGUUAUAACCAGCUCAUAAAGGAGUUAAACCUACACAAGUUCAAAACUGAGAUAAAAGCGCUGACAGCGAUGAAAUAGUGCGGCCGCGGAAGGUUCAACGCUGAGGCGGCCACAAUUACGUGCCCAGCAAAAUAAAGAUUCAAAGAAGGCAUUUGUGGAUACAACAAAUACCGCUGACUACUGUGAAAUAGCACGACAGCGGAAUACUUGAUGCGGCCGCGGUGCUAAAUCCGCUGAGGGCAAAUUAAAGAUUCAGAAACCUGGAAAUUUGAGCUUAAAUGAAAAGCGCGGUCUGCGAACAUUUUAUGGGUCAUUGUUGAAGACAGUGCUAAGGCGGUCUCUUUUACACGCCCAGCAAAAUGAAGUCCAGCCCCAGUCCAAAAUGGAAGAAACGCGGUCCCCGCUUGCUUUUGCGUGGCCGCAAAAGUUCAAGCAUUGAGGCUCCCAGUAUUGCGCUGACAGCGGAACCUCCGUAGGGGUAUUUUUGUCCAGUAAUUUCAGCUAUGUAUAAAUAGAUCUUUUUCAUUUUUUUAGGUCAUCUUUUGUAUUGAGGAGCUCAUGAACAGACGUAUUUUACUACAUAGAGUAAUUUUAGAGCAACUUUAGCUAUUAAUCUUAGAUUUUCUUCUUGUAAUCAACUUUUAUGGCUUAUAUUUCAUCUCCAUCUUUGAUUUCUACCGUUAUUAUGAGUAGCUAAACCCAUUAGCUAGGGUUGUGACCCAACCCUAAUAUGGGUAUUUAAUGGGUCCUCUAUUUUAGGGCUUAAUUAUUUAUGAGUAUGUGAUAUUUAGCUUGAUUCAUGCUUUAAUUGUAGAAUUGGUAGUUGCAAACACUGGUUCAUGCCUUUAAGACUUAGACCCUUCUUGAUAAAGAGGGACUAAGUCUAGGAAAAUUAGGAUAACAUAAUUUAAACUUUGGCAUGUGUAGUUUUGAUCUAUAUUAGCUUCCUCUAAGGACUAGCAAGACUUCCUAAUUAAAUUAUCCCUAAAUCAAUUAAGAGAUUAAGCACAUCCGAUUAUGGCUACAAGUAGUUCAAUCCUAUCCCUAGGUAGAAUCUAUAAAAGGAGGGUUAAAACCUCAAGUUCUUGUUAGUUAAUCUUUAUCAACCCCAAAUAAUCUUUCCCAAAAUAUAUUCGAAGUUAAUGGGUGAGUCCUAGGGUUAGCUAAUGCCUUUGGAAACAUUAAAGAACAAGAAUAAUUAAAGAAACAAUAACUCACUUAAUAAAAGAUAAAAAAUCAUUCAAUACACAAGCAAAACAAGAUAUUUAAUCCAGACUUUAAACAUGAAUAUUUCCAUAAACAAGAUUCAAGUGUUGGAAUAAAAUACACUUAGAUAUACAAUACAAAGGAAGGAAAUGAAGAAAUGAGCACAAACGAAUAAGAAAUUCUUAACCAAAAGCUUCAAAUCUUCAAAACCUAAGUGUGUGUGCAAGAACCCUAGAUCCAAAAUAUUCUCUCAAAAUAGGUCAAAGACUGCCCAAAGAUAUCCAAAGAUUUGCCAAAGAUCUACUAGGUUAUGUAUUAAAUGGUUUUGGGGUCAAAAACGUAAAAUGCCAAAACUGCCCAGAUUUCUGCCUAGAUAUGUGAAUCGCGAUAUCGAAAAGAGGCAUGCAAUCAUGUAGAGUAAAGAUGUAAAGCACUGCAAUCACGGACAAGGUCCGCGCGUUCACGUAGAGCAAUUGGGAACAAUUGAUAAGCCUCUUCUUCGUGUUCGCAGAAAUAGCUCUGCGUUCGGGAUGUAUUGUUUGCCAGCCUUCUGCGAUCGCAUGCCAAAGUUCGCGAAUAGUGAAGAGCAUUAACUGGCAGCAGUCAUUUUUCUUCAAUUUUGCACAUUUUGACUUGGUUUGUUCCGUAUUUCCUCCAAAUCAAUUGAUACCUCAGAUAUGCCACUAAACCUCAAUAAAUGCCUUAGUUUCUCAACAAAAUCAUACAAAAGCCUAAGUAUCAAGAGCCAACUUAUCAAUAAGUCUCAUGUCUAAACUUGUGAGGGGGAAACUAACCCGUAGGUAUUGUAUUUGUUAUGUGCUACUUGAUGUGGGAGUCACGUAUGCAUGAUGUGAUGAGAGCUUGUACGUAGCUAAAAUCAUUUUUAUGUCCGGAUAGACUUAUAACUUUAUCAUGCAAUAUCUGUAUUACCUGAAGUUAACUUGUUAGUUUAAUUACCUAAAACUUGUAAAUGUAAUUUGAUUAUAGAUCAUGUUAGGUCGAAUAUCAUUACUUUGAGUUGUUUGGAGGGAUAUUUGAUUGUUGGUAAAAGUUAAGCUUACUUUAUGAUCCUAUUCUUAUGUUGCAAACAUGUAGCCCGUAAUUUGAUAAGUUUAUUCUCUUCCUAGAGUACAGGCCUAACGCCUCGGUAGUAUGUUGAGAUGUACCCACGAAUCAAGCCAUACGAUCUCGGUAGUGUAUGUACAUGAGUUUAUGGAUCGGGUCGUAUGACCUCGGCAUCACUCAUGUGUAAUAUCGCUAGGAGUCCGAAUAUUCAUGAGAUUUCCCUUUUUGAUUGAGUCUUGGCAUUUUAUGAUAUCUCUUAUCUGUUGGAGAUUAGCAUUUGGUAUUUCAUAUCUGGUUAUAUGAUAUAUGAGAAAUUCACAUUGUCAUUAUGUUGGAGGAUCAUUUUAGUUACAGUUCUUACUUCAUUAUUACCUUGUGUUUCAUAUUUAUUUGUAAUUUAUUGUAAUGAUUUAUGGACCACUUGUAAUUGUCGAUGUUGAUCCCUCGUUGCUACUUCUCUAGAGUUAGGCUAGAUAUUUACUGGAUAUGCGUUGAUUUAUGCACUCAUGCUACACUUCUUCACUGAUUGUGCAUGUAUAUUUUCGGUGGUCAUUUGGAUGCAAGAGCGCAGCUAUUGACGAGACGUUUAGGUGAUCUAUUCAUUUAUAUUAUUAUGUCUAUUUUAUAUUUCAAAUAGAUGUUGUAUUAGUAUUGUACUUCCUUGUAUAUGCACAUGCACUUGUGUCACCGGAUUUUGAGAGUUUCUAGUAGAUGUUUAUACUUUUUAUCAAAUUAUCAUUAAUCUUUUAUUUUAUGUAUUAUUAAUGCUUUAUAUCUCCAUGGUUUUCUAUGCCUAAUUUCCUUUACUUAAUUAAACCUAUAAAUUUUUGAAAGCAAUAAAAUGUGUAAUUAAGUUGUUAGUUUGUCGUUGGCUUGCCUAACGGUAAUGUUGGGCACCAUCACGGCCUAUAGCGUAAAUUGGGUCAUGCUACUUUGCUCUCGGUAGGGCUGCCGUCCAACUCAUCUGCCGGUCAUCUUCUCCAGCGGAGCUCUACCGAAGCCCAACCAAGCAACUGCCUCUUUCUCUUCCCCUAUCUCAUCUCCACCGGCAGAUCUACAUUUCAAAAUCACGAAGUCACAAUGAGUCCAUUACUGGUGGCGAAAACAAUGGAGGAGGAAGAUCGAGGGCGUCACGAGAUCUGGAUCUCACGGAGAUGCCGAAAUCCAUGACAGAAUAUAUACUGAAAACAAUGGCCGAAUUUUUGUUCGUCUCUAUUUUUAAUUUUAGUAUAAUGUAUACCGUGUUUUGCUUGGCUGGAAGGCUCCAUCUCCAGCGAACUUUCAUCUAUUUUUUGCCAUCGAGUCAUAUACAAUGAUAUAAAUACAUUGUACUUUGUACAAAUACACUCAAAUUUGAGUAUAAUUUGUAUUUUUCAAUGCAACAACAACCCAGUUAAAUUCCACUAGUGGGGUUUGGGGAGGGUAGUGUGUACGUAGACCUUACCCCUAACUCAAAAGAGUAGAGAGGCUGUUUCAAUGCAAACCGAGUUUAUUUUUUUAUUUUUUGUAUUUUCUCAUGUAUUCAUGUAUUCUGAAGGUUAUUUUUUGUGGUAGAUCCCUAUAAUUUUUAAAUAUUUGUUGUUUGAAUAAAACCGAAUAUCACUAUAUUUAUGAUUUUUUGUUGUUUGAAUACAAUCGAAUUGAAUAUAGUAAAAUUAAAUACAAUUUAAAAUAGUUAAGAAUGAAUAUAGCCAAAUUGAAUAUAGUGUAUACAACCAAAUUGAAUAUAACGGCAUACACCCUAUUUCUUGAUUUUGGUUGUUUGAAUAAAACUAAACUAUAUACACUAAAAUUGAAAAUAAUAUAUAAGAACGAAUACAUCUGAAUUGAAUACAGUAUAUACAACUGAAUUGAAUACAUUGAUAUACAUUCCACUGCAAAAAAUUAAUAGCUACAAAAUAUAGUUAGCAAAAUUAUAGCUACACCCAGCAAUAAGCCUCCAAACAAUAGUUAUUUCUGAAAAAUCAUCUAUAUUAAAUGUAAUUAUUUUAAUUCUUUCUUUCAUUAGGAAGAAAAAAGCUUUUGUUUUCCUAAAACAUUAUAUAUUCAAAUAAAAGAAAACAUGAAAUGAAUGAAAAGUAAAGAAGCUAAGCAUAAAAAGAAAAGAUAAAGAAAUAGGAAUAAGUGACCAACACAAUUUUGGACAUAAAAUUAUAAAUUUUGAAAGAAAAAAUACUAUAUGGAGUUAAGUUUUAAAAUGGUAUUUCGAAUUUGAAAUUAUAUUUCACUUAAAAAAAUGUUGCAGUUUUGUGAGAGAAAAAAAGUAUUUUUGAAUAUUUUGAACAAGUGGUCAAAACCACAUUUUUAGAUUUUGAAAAACUCAUUUUAGAAAAAAUCCCAACAAUUUAUAAAAUUUCGUGGACAAAUACUUUUUUUUUGGGCGAAAAAAAAAUCGGUCAAAAAGGAAAUCUCUUCUUGUAAAAACUUUUCUAAAACAUAAAUUGAGGAUUUGUAGGUCGAUUUGAGUUCGGGAUUGGAUAAUUUUGGCAUGGUUGGACUCAUAUCAGAAUGAGUGUUUGGAAUGUAUGAUUUGGUCGGGUUCCGAGAUGCGGGCCUAAGAUUGAAUUUGUUUAAAGAUUGUAUGCGGCAAAAUCAGAGGGUCUAAUUUCUUGCUAUUAAGUCAUUUCGGAGGAACACCUCGUGACCUCGAGGACGCGAGGCUGUGACCGAGUUUCCUUCCUCGAAGCUCGUCAAGGCCCGACCUAAAGAGAAUAGUGAUCGAGGCUAGAGUAAAAUAGAGGAUUCCCAAGGCACACGGCUAAGUCUGACAGAGCCGGCCUACCUAGAGUCUGUAUCGAGGUGUCACAUAUAGCCGUCCCCUCUCCAUGCCUUUACAAUUAAUGUAUUUUGUACUAUGAUGGGAUUACCCUCCUAUAUAAAAGAGAUCCUUAUCACUUUGUAAGAGGCUACUAUUGUUCCAACUAUUCUACACAAGAUCAAUAACAUCUCUCUCUCUCUCUCUCUUUUCUCUCUAACUUACUCGCGCGAGACUAUCUCUUUCAUUUAUUGCUUUCAUACUUGUUCUCCAUUUAUUACUUGAUAUUGGCCAUAAAUAGACUCCUUUAAUUAUACUUUAACUGUUAGUUCCUUCCCGGUCAUCCCGAUAGCUUGAGCUCAAGCCCAAGCAUCGACCUCGAGGUCCUUAUCGGUUAGUCUGAGGCCCGGACAACAAGCCCUCGGUUUGAUUAUAACCCUGUUUUAGUUCAUAUUUUGUCGUUAAGCUUCACAUAUCUAGCAUCAACUGCUCUAACAACUAGCAUAAAAAUAGAUCACGUAUUUUUAGAGUCCCAUCAAUAAAUUUAAUUAUUAUUACCUUUUUCAUGGUAAAUUGUUUGUCGCCCACCGUGGGGCUAAAAAUAAUAGUGAUUAUUUUCUUGCUGGUUUCGUUACACAAUGCAAGUUAUCUUUCACACUUUUUCUUGUCCAAGAUCUUCGAUUUCAGGUGAAAAUGUCUCGCUCGGUAAACAGAGUUGAGAACGACAACCUUGAAAACCACGGAGAAAACGGUGUGGCUAUUCCAGUUGUUGGCGUGCCACCACAGAACCCCGAUAACGAACCUGGAACGAUUCCAGCAGACGUGGAUUUGCAAGACGCACAGCAGGUCGACGAAACCUCACACACCGACAUGAGCAUACAACAUGGCGACCAACAGACAGUCCACAAAACCCCAGCUCGGGAAGAACAGGAAGUUAGUCUUCAUGUUAUUUUUGAAAUGUUGCAGGCGAAACAAUUGGCUAUCGCUCAGUUGCAAAGCCACUCGAAGACUUCUAGCUCAGUAGCAGCGGAAACUACUCCCCUGGUCAAACACGUACCAGAGAGAUUGAGAAACAACAGAUAAGUAGUUGAUCCUGCCAUCGUGAAAAUGUUAGAGGAACUCACCAAAAGGAUUGAGUUAGGCGAGAAAUAAUAGCAGCCAACGACAAGAAGGUCGAAACCUAUAACUUCAGAGUCGACCAAAUCCCGGGCGUACCCCCGGUCCUGAAGGGUAUAGAUUUGAAGAAGUUCGUACAAUGGCCGUUCCCAGAGGAAGCAGCUCCGAAACCCAUUCCAAAGAAGUUUAGAAUGCUAGAACUCCCAAAAUACAAUGGUACCUCAGAUCCCAAUGAACAUGUCACUGCCUAUACGUGCGCGGUAAAGGGCAAUGACAUAUAAGAUGAUGAGAUCGAGUCCGUCUUACCGAAGAAGUUCGAAAAAACGCUCUCAAAGAGGGCCAUGAUGUGGUAUCACAACCUAGCUCCCAACUCCAUAGAUUCAUUUGCCAUGGUAGCAGAUUCCUUCAUAAAGGUGCACGCCGGUGCCAUCAGAGUAGCAACAAGGAAGUCCGACGUAUUCAAGAUUAAGCAGAGGGAGAACGAAAUACUACGAGAAUUCGUAUCUCGUUUCCAAACAGAAUGAAUGGAACUAACCUUGGUCUCCGACGACUGGGCAGUGCAUGCCUUCACUCAAGGCCUGAAUGAACGAUGCUUGGUGUCCUCAAGGCAGCUGAAAGAGAAUCUGAUCGAAUAUCCUGCCAUAACCUGGUCGGACAUCCACAAUCGAUACCAGUCAAAGAUCAGGGUCGAGGACGACCAUCUGGGAGCCCCCUUGGGCUCAGUAUAUCUAGGCAGACUCCUGGCGAUGGAGUCAAAAUCGAAUAAAGGGAGGUAUCAGCCGUACCCUGAUGAUAGGAGGAAUGCCCCGAGACGAUACCCGCCUCGCAACAAUCGAUUGGUGAACAGAGGACAGAACCCUUGGGUACCCAUCAACAAAGGUGGAUUCAAUGGGGACACGGGGCCAACGGGGCACCUCGCCUAUCAGAAUACAACUUCAACAUCGACAUAUCGGACAUCGUGUUCGCCAUCAGCAAAAUCAGGGAUGCCAAAUAGCCCAGGCCUAUACACUCGGAUCCUUCCCAAAGGAACUAUAACUUGAUAUGCAAAUUUCACAACUCGUACGGGCAAAGAACCGAGGAUUGCAGGCAACUCCGGGAGGAAGUGGCCCGGCUACUCGAUAACAGACACCUUUGGGAAUUCCUCAGCGACCAAACUAAAAUCCAGUCCCGAUAAAGAGAAACAACUAAAAAGAACAAAGCAAAGGAACCCCAACACAUCAUCCAUACGAUUUUUUAAUAUACGCCCUCGGUUGUAUUCAAAUGAAGGACCACAUCGCAUCUGCCAAACGAACGCUGGAGCCCAAGAGUGACAUCGCCACUAAGGUAUAAUCACCUCUCCCUUUUUCUAUCUUUUACUUCACGAUAACUCUUGUGCUGGCCAUCAACCAAAGCAGUCGAGAUGUCGAUCCGGCUCGAGGACCUCGAGGUUUUGAAGCGUCCGUUGCACUCUUUUCCUUCGACCAAGUUUUUAUCCCGAAAUGGAUUUUUGCCGGCAAGGUUUUUAACGAGGCAACGUCCAUGCGCUACCUAAGGAAGACCCAACAAGCUUACAAGACUUCUUUUGCAAUCAACACUGCACCAGUAAAUGACAAACGAGGUUCCAAUAGGAACUGAUGUACCGGGCCAAACGGUCGAACAACCGUGUAUGCAUAAGCCGGGCUUACGGUAACAAAAUAACAUGGACUUACGCCAAAUAGUCAAAGAAUAUCUUUCACCAAAAGCAUCUCGUACUCCAAUGAAAAUUCAGCGUGUUCACAGCAAGGAUCCCUCCAUCGAGUACGUCCCGAAAUACUUGGAAACUAGCUCAUGGCCUCAGGAUCAUAACUCCAUGCUCAUAAGCCCUCAAUAAGACAAUUUCGAGCUCACGAGUAAUGGCCUCCGAGCCUAAGUAAACUCGAAGACUAUCGCCAAUCGCCAUUAACUUAAAAACUCGAUGCCGUAAGACCCCGAGCGGGCAAACUCGGUCUAGCAAGAUCUGUUUAAUAUAGCAACAAAAAUUGUAAUACCUCAACAGGCAUGAUACAAAUGUAAGACCUCAACAGGCAUGAAAAAACCGUAAGACCUCAACAGGCAUGAAAAUUUUGUAAGACCAUACUACAGGCAUAAAACUCAAUCCCGAAGUUUAGGCUAUAUGUCGCAUUUGUAAGACUAUCGAAAGGGCAUACCCUCUAUGUAGACGCCUAAACUACCACACUCAGGAUCAAAAAUGGCUCCGGCCAAACACAAAUGACUACAGUCAAUACGGCUACACCAGCCAAAUUAAUGCGACUUAGGGACGCCCGACCGUCACUAUAAAAUCACAGGCCAUUACUUCGAAUCUACUUCGAAAAGAACCGGUUAUACAAGCUACCCUCGACAGGCAAAAGAGCUUCGACCAUGUUCCAAAUCACAAGGCAAAUGGGCUACGAGCUACGAGCUAAACCUUCCGAGGUGCUCGAAUAUUGUAGCAAAUGACAUGAAAUCGAGGUUCUUCCCGAACCGACUAUGGGUCAGGCGAAAUCAUUUCAAAAAGUCCUUAACGAGAGGAAAACAAAGCCUACAUAUUCCUAAGGGCAAAGCAUAAGAGCCAUUGUUGCCAGCCUAAUGAGCCUCAGGGCAACACACACUAAAAGGCCAUAUCAACCAAAAGCGUAAGAGCCAUCGUCGCCAGCUUAAGAAUUUGAAAGCUUGAGGGUCAAAGUGAGCUUGAGUCGUAACCCGAUUCGGACACCGGAUCCAAAAUAGUUAACUAUACAUGCCUAAAGGCAUAGCGUAAGAGCCAUCGUUGCCAGCUUCUUGAGCCUCAGGGCCACAUACAUAAAAAGUCGCUUCGACCGAAGGCGUGAGAGCCAUUGUUGCCAACCUACAAAAAUACAGAACUUGAGGGUCAAUUCUGCUCGAGUCGAAACCCGACUCGAAGACUGAACCCAAAAUAGUUAAAAUACAAGUGCCCAAAGGCAAAGUGUAAGGGAUAUUUUCGCCUACCCAUGCAGACAUGAAAGCUUGAGGGUCAAAUGGGCUCGAGUCGAAGUCUGACUCGGAGACUAAACCCAAAAUAGUUGAGCAAAAGCAUAAGAUCUCUAACAUGUAAGAGCCCCCGGGCCUACCUGAUGAGCCAUAGAGCCGUAUCACGAAUCUAAGGAUACUCACCAACUUCGAAACUAGUCCACCUGGUCAAAGGCGAAGCAGAAAGGGGUGCAUAAGCAAUAAAGCUUCAAGUUCUCUGCUAUUUUACAUACAUGAAAAAGUGCAUCCUCCAUCUACGAACGCGCUCUGGAAAUAUCACAUAUAAAAUGACAAAAUCUAUGCCCCGACCCAAGGGCUACGGCCUAUCGAACUCGUUUUCGCUCUCCUCAGUGCCGGAUAGGAGUGACUGAGCAUCACUCUCGUCCGCCCUCACUCGCGCCAGCUCUUCCGGGAGAACAAAACCCUUGGGGCCGAUAUCCUCAAGUACCUUUCGUCGGGAUCUGUAACGAGCAUAUUCUUCGAUCCUCUCUUCAUGAUUGAGGACCCUCUUCAACUCAGCUUGGGCAGUGGUAGCAUCUUUCAAAUGAAUUGUCAUCUCCUGAUUAGCCUUAGUCCAGCUAAGUGCUGCUUCGGCCCGAGUAUCAACGAUCUCAGCCCUGACCUUCAAAAGUUCGGACUAAAGCUUUGUGAUCAUAUCCGCUUGAACUGAAACGUUGUCACGAGCUAAGCGGAGUUUGAAGAUAGGAACUUUAGCCAAGGCACCAUUCUCUUCUGAAGCUUGAGCCUGCACCUGAGCUCUUAGCUCGCCACAGUCAUUCCUGACUCGGUCAGCUUCACCCCUAAGGCGCUCUAGAGCCUCUGUCUUUUUCUGCAACUGGGAUAGGCAAAAAGUUAACCCAAAGGGUUAAAAGGUGAGACGCAUACCCGCCCGGGAUGAGAAGUUACCUGCUCCAUCAAAUAGCUCUCGUAAUUCGAUCUGGUAUGCCUCAUAUCGCUAGUGUGUCAACUCAACUUCCUCAUCCUUGCAAAGGAGCUUAAGGGACCUACCCUCUUCCAGAGCUUUUUGGAGCCUAGCCCCAUGGCGGAGCAACUCAUACCUAAGCCUGUCAAAGGCCUGUAGAAGAAAAACUCGAUAAGGAAGGGAAGACGUGAGAUGCGGAAGGCCUGUGCCAAAACUCACCGCAAAGUGAAGCCGGCGGACUUCCUCAAAGGCCGAGCACACUUUUGUUGAUCCAACCCCCUUGGCCCCGGAAGAACCAACCUAGGUCGAAGCAUGAUCACUCGGAGGAAUCACCUCUCCAGAACCGAAAACUUCGGGCGUAGCAGGCCUUGGUGAUGUUUUCUCCUUAAAGACUCGGCCCCAUUUUGCCUUGUUGUAAGCUCCAUCGCACUGCAAAUGCAUAUCCCAAUUUUCAUUAUCGUCCUUCAGCUCGGAAGCUGGCAACUCCUCCCCCUUUCUAGAGGAACACAGCCUCAUCCUUGGGGACCCUCCGAUACCUACAACGACAAGAUUAGUGCAUAAAAGGGGGAAAAGGUCUUCCCAAACGUAUGAAGGACAAGGUAAAAGCAGCAUAUGCACAUACCAUGGUAUUUUGCUUCCCAUCUGCUCUAGGACACAGUUCGCCAACUAUGCUUGUCACAAGUCGAAUGGGUCUCCAACUUUCGGACCCAACCGGGCAGAUCAGGAACUUCGCCCAGCACCCAUGAAAUUGCUGCAAAAAAGAAGGAAACACGAUUACUAAACUAGCUUUCACUAUGAGCGAAUCUGAGAAAGCACAAGACGUUCCACUCACGCGUGUAAUUCCAUUCCUCGGGGAAUGGCAUAAGUUCCACAGGAAUAACAUCAGUCGUCUAGACCCGAACAAAUUGACUGACCUACUCUCGAUCUCCAUCUUCCUCAUCAUCAACAACAAAGGGCGUGGACGAACCGCACCGUAAGGUUAGCAGACCUCGAUGAUGAAAGGGCUGGUACAGCCUGACGAGGUGACUGAGCAUGAAUUCAAGCCCUGCUUUUCUCCGCGAAGAACCUCAUCAUCAGCACUAUUCGCCAAAAUGACGGAUGUAUCUGCGCCAAAGUAACCCGAUACUUUAAACAGAAAUCGAGCACGACCCUAUCAAGGGGGCCUAGUGCAAAAGGGUACAAGUACACGUUCAGGAAUCUAUCAGCGAGGUCCAUGAUACCAUCAUCCGGGGGAAGCGCCUACUACGCUACCCCCCUCGGCCCAUCCGUAGUCUCUCUUCACUCUCUCCAGAUGCUCUUCUCUUAUCGAAGACAUAGUCUUCAGAGUAAACUCCCGUGGUCCUGAGCAUUGAGAGUGGAACUCUCCCCUCUCUGCUGAGCAGACCCUGAAGUGGCAGUCAUGGCUAUGGUGGAACUAGCAAACUGAGGCAGGAACCUACAAGAACGCUUUGGCACUAAGGUAACGAAUGACUUGAUGCCCAAAUGGAAGGAUAACUAUCUAAAAAAAUGGGAUCUUCCAAGAAGCGGUAGCAACCCCAUAUAUAUGUGGGAAAACAGCAAUGAUUCGCCUACCCAAGUUAGGCCCCGGGAGGCCAACGGCUUCGGUACGGGUUCCGAGGUAGUACUCGACCUCGAGGUUUCCUCUCAAGGAGAAAAAUAAGCACUUCGAGCUCCAUCUAUGAGGGCUCGACCUCAGGAAGUCUCCUAGAAAAUGAGUAACCCCUCCUCAGAGACCUGCCUACAACGCCUUAAAAGGUUGUUGACAUCAAGUUCAAAGUAAAUCUCCGAGUACCCGAAGCUGACUUUCGCUUAAAGGCCUCUCUCAAAAUUUCAAGUUUUGGUGCUUUAUUUCCACAAGGCUCGAGGGUCCCAAUGACCCGAGUUUAUCAGACCACUUCAGGCUUGAUCCGGAGAACAACAAUGAUCUCGGAAAUGAGCCAUUUCUAUCAACCAGAGGCCGGAAAGAAUGCUCGCACCCGAGUUGAAUACUGACGAUCGUCAAUAGAGACAUACAUUCGAAUCCCCACAAAAUGCACAAGAAUAUGGAAAAUACCAAAGCAGAAAGAAAGAAGAUGUCUUUUUAUUUCAUAAAUAUUAGCUUACAAUGGCCCUCGAGGGGUCCUUACAUAAAAUUACAAAAGUCCGCAAGGGGUCCUUACGUAGGAACAAAGAAACAAAGGGAUGCACACACGUGGUAAAAGCCUAGAGCCUAGUCCAUCCUCGAAGGUUCAUCUCCAGUAUCAACAUCUCUGAGUGCCACCUCCUCGAGCUCGCAUCCUCGAAGGCAACUCCUUCGAUCGCCAUCUCCUCCAGGUUCUCAGCUCAAUCUCGCAGAAUGUCCUCGCCGAGGGAGAAUAUGAAUAAGAGGAAAAGGGGGGACGCAGAAGAGGCAGAGAAAGGAUACAUAGCCCGCCGAAGCCAAAGGUUUAAGAUUCGACGGGCCCCAGCCUCAAUGGCCGGUAGUGCCAUUUUAUUCCUCAUGAAAGAAAAAAUCCAAGGGAUGAAGUGCCACACCAGGCCAGGGUAGGAGAGUGAGCAGUGGUAUAUAGUUCGAAUAAUUUUCUAAAGUGAGGAAAGUCGAUCCCUAUAUAUCAUCAUCUCGAGCCAAUAAGGAUAGCAACAACAGUCAUAACAAUAACAGCAGCAACAACAAAACGGUAUAACCAUGCUCGACAAAAGGGAGCUCAGGCAAAAGGCCACAACAUGGCCUAUGGGAACGCUGCCAAACAAUCUUAAGGCCGUGAACUCCAAAUGUGGUGACCAACAAUAGAGGAAGAUGGCGAGAAGAAAGGGAUGAAUGAGCAAAUAAAGACACUUGGAUGGAAAAAUAAUGCCAGAACACCCCCAUUUAUAGGAGAUAAUGACAUAGUCAUCAAGGCCUUUGGAUGUCUGACCGGUAGGCGCAAUUACUGUGUCCUUGAAAAACUAAAUUGAUGGCGGUACUACCACUUUGAAGAAUGGGAAUCGACAGUGCAUUGAAUGGCAUCGAAAAGGCAAGUCCAUGGUAUGUCCCGCUUAUCGUGAAAAUUCACGCCAUAGAUUGCAUCAUCGACAUGACAUCAUCAUGGGAGCCCAGGAAGUCAGGUAUCAUAAUCGUUUCCCAUCGCUUCGUUCUAGGAGAUGCGGAGACUAUCUGUAUCCGGCAAAAUUAGAGGGUCUAAUUUCUUACUAUUAAGUCGUUUCGGAGGAACACCUUGAGGCCUCGAGGACGUGAGGCUAUGACCGAGUUCCCUUCCUUAAAGCUCGUCAGGGCUCGACCUAAAGAGAAUAUUGAUCGAGGCUAGAGUAAAAUAGGGGAUUCCCAAAGCACAUGGCUAAGUCUGAUAGAGCUGGCCUACCUAGAGUCUGUAUCGAGGUGUUACAUCUAGCCUUCCCCUCCCCAUGCCUUUACAAUUAAUGUAUUUUGUGUUAUGACGGGAUUUUCCUCCUAUAUAAAGGGGAUCCUUAUCACUUUGUAAGGGGCUGUUGUUGCUCCAACUAUUCUACACAAGAUUAAUAACAUCUCUCUCUCUCUCUCUCUUUUCUCUCUAACUUACUCGCUCGGGACUAUCUCUUUCAUUGAUUGCUUUCAUACUUAUUCUCUAUUUAUUGCUUGAUAUUGGCCAUAAAGAGCCUCCUUUAAUUAUACUCUAACUGUUAGUUCCUUCUUGGUCAUCCCGAUAGCUCGAGCCCGAGCCCAAGCAUCGACCUCGAGGUCCUUAUCGGUUACUCCAAGGCCCAAACAACAAGCCUCUCGGUUUGAUUAUAACCCUGUUUUAAUUCGUAUUUUGUCGUUAAGCUUCACAUAUCUAGCAUCAACUGCUCUAACAACUAGCAUAAAAAUAGAUCACAUAUUUUUAGAGUACCAUCAACAAAUUUAAUUGUUAUUACCAUUUUCACGGUAAACAAAGAUCUUAGGUUUAUAAUUUGGAAUCAAUUCCUAUGAUUUUUAUUGAUUAUAUUAAGUUUUUUUGGCUAGAUUCGGGUUAUUCAGAGGUUGAUUCACGGCGGAAGGUCGUGUUAGAGGAGUGAUUUAGCUUGCUUGAGGUAAGUAUGAUACAUAAACUUGGUUGAGGCAUUAGUUACAUGAGUUAUUUGUGAUAGCUACGUGCUAUGGGCACGCAUAUGUGUGGGGGUUGAGCCCAUGUGCGAGCACUUGGGUAUUUAUCGAUGUUCUAGGUAGUGCAUAGGCAAUGAUAUGCAUUUAAUUGAUUGACAAGCUUUAUGAUGCAAUGUUUCUCGUAUUUGUAACCCUGUUGUGAACUAUUUGAUUCAUGUUUGAGGUUAGAUAGAGGUUAUUCCCCUAAAUGAACUUGAUAAUAGCUAUUUUCAUGAUGAAAUUGUUGAUUUGAGCCAUGAUAGCAAACUUUGCACAUGCAUACACCUUAGCAUGUCAAUUAUACCAAUCUAGGAGCAUGAAAUCUAAUAUUAAUUGAUCAUAUACAUGUAUUCUUAUACAUUUACUUCUGUGUAAUAUGAUUUCGAUUGGGUGCCUGUGACCACGCCGGGCGGAUUAUGUUGGUAGCCUAUGACCACACCAGGCGAAUUGUGAUUAUUGGCAAGUGAGUUGUUGGUGCAACACGUGAGUUGUCCAUGAAGCACGUGAGUUAUCCGUGCAGCACAUGAAUUGUCCGGGCUGAUCCAGAUAUUGAUAUUAUUGGCACAUGAGUUGUCUAUGUGGUUGAUAUUAUUAGCACUUUUGAGUUACCCAUGUAGCACGUGAGUUGUACGUGUAGUGUGUGGAUAUGGAUCCAUCCCCUAGGGUCACCAUCUCAUGUUUCUCUCUUCAUGGUAUACACGCAAAUUGAGGAAAACUGAUCAGUGGUUUGGUACUGUAUUGGAAGUUCUGAUGAAAAUCUGGCCAGUAUUGUUUGGUUAUUGAAUUUCAUAUUUACUUGUAAUUUCUUUGGUUAUUUACCUGACUUAUUGGCACAUCAUCUUUAUAUGCUGGAUUAUUGAUUGAGAAGAGUACUUGAUGAACUGUGAACACUAAGCUUGUUCUUUCUAUGCUAUAUGACUUGAUUAUGUCAUCAUUUUAUGCUGGUUGAAAUUAUGAUCUGUACAGGUUUUAGUGAGUAUCAUUUAGAAUUCUUGCUUCUUUUACUUUGCCGAGGUUAUUUAUGAUACUUGCUGAGUGCAUGGGGUCGUUUGUACUCAUGCUACACUCUGCACUUAAUUGUGCAGAUCAAGGUAUCAGACUCAGUCAUUGGUAGCUUAGGCAUAUAUCUAAGGUGAUCAUCGAGAGAUGAGGUAGAGCUAUAUUCUUAACCGCAGUCUUGGCGUCUCUUUUCUUAUGUACUAAUGUAUUUAUUUCAAACAGUAUUGUAUUUGGCUUUUCAGACUUGUAUUUCUGCAUUUAGAGCUCUUAACUCUGAAUUUAUCAUGUAUUGGUAUUAUUAUGCUAAGUUAAAGUUUUAGACUUAUGUAAAUUUUGUUAUUUUUGCAAGUUUUGGUUAAUUACUGCUAUGUUCGGCUUGCCUAGCAAGUGUGUUAGGAGCCAUCAUGACUUGUUGGGUUUUUGGGUCAUGGCAAGUUGGUAUCAGAUCCCUGGGUUCAUAGGUAUUAUGGGUCAUGAGCAAGUUUAGUAGAGUCUAGUGAAUCGGUAUGGAGACUUCUGUACCUAUCUUCGAGAGACUACCAAAUUGUUAGGAUACUUUACUUUCUUGCAUUCUUGUCAUGCGUAUUUGUUAUUUUUGAAGUUUAAACCUUGACUCUUCUAUUCUCACACAGAUGGUCGUGCGACUGUAUCGGGCAAAUGGCCACCAGUACCACCAGUUAGGGCCAUGAGAGGUCGGGGUCGCGGUAGAGGCUGAGGUAGGGCUCACACUAUAGCUAGGGUAACACCUAUGGAGCCUCCAAAUGCUCAAGCUUGGGAGCAGGUUUUGGAUAUUGCUGAGAUAGUGGGAUCAUAUUCCUAGUCUUCAGGAGGCUUUGGCUCAUAUUUUGACUGUCUACACGAGCCUGGCUUAAGUGGUUUCGAUUCUAGUUGCACCAGCUACCUUAUAGGCUGAGGGAGGUGCCUAGACUCCUGUCGCUCGUACUCCAGAGCAGCUAGCUCAGGGUCAUCAAACGCUAGGGGUGUUACUAUUUCAGCUAGUUGUUGCAACUCGGGCCAAGGUUUAUCCACCUAUGAGUGAUGAGGAGCAGUAGAGGUUGGAGCAGUUUAGGAGGAGAGUCGGAGGAUGCUUAGGAUUUUCUAUACCGGGGUCACCAGAUUCUUUGCACCGUGGGUAUUUUGGAAACCGGUGGAGUUGCAUUCACUACCUUUUAGCUGAUAAGGGCAGCCUAUAGAUGGUAGAAGGAUUAUGAGUCGUGCAGGCUAGCUGAUGCAAUACCACUUACAUGAUAUGAGUUCUCAAUUCUCUUCUUAGAGAAGUUUGUCCCACAGACUUUUAAAAAGAAGUUGUGUAGGGAGUUUGAGCAGCUAUGCCAAGAGUGUAUGACUCUGGACAAUAUGAGAUGAGAUUUUCAGAUUUGGCACGUUAUGCUAUAUGGUUGGUUCCCAUCGAGAGGGAGAGGAUCAUGAGGUUCAUUGAUGGCCUCAAAUAUGGUUUGUGUUACAAUAUGUCUUGAGAGGUUGUGACAGAUGCUAGGUUUGACCAGGUGGUUGAGAUUUCUUGAUGUUUGGAGAAGGUUUGACCAGGUGGUAGAGAUUGCUUGAUGUUUGGGGUAGGUUUGACCAGGUGGUCGAGAUUGCUUGACGUUUGGAGCAGGUUCGCAGGCUGGAGCACGAGGAGCGAGAGGCCAAGAGGCCUUAGGGUUUAGAUGGUUUCAAUAGUGACUCAUUUGGAGGCCAGUCACAGUAUAGCAGAGGUUGUCCUUCUAGACCCGUUUAGACAGCUUGCCAUGUUCAUCAUGGUUGUUCAGUUAGCCACAAUUCCUACAGUGCACACCCAGCUUAGUCGUCAUUCAAUACGCUACUAGAAUAGAGUUCUUACCAUGCUCCAUCUACGCAGGGUUCCACAGGAAGUUAUUCAGAUUAUCAGGGUCAGCAGCUCCAUUAUAGGAGAGGUUAUUUUGAGUGCGGGGAUUUGAGUCAUCUCAAGAGAAAUUGCCCCAGACUGUAGAGUAGGGCUCUAUAGCAGAGCUCUCAGCCUAUGAUUUCAGCACCAACAGUACACCACCCGCACAACCAGCUAUGGUUAGGGCACUGUCAACAUGAGGUCGCCCUAGAAGGGAGGUCGUUCAGGCAGUAGUCAAGAACGUUUCUAUGCAUUUCCUUCCAGGCUGGAGGGAGUUACUUUUGACAUCGUGAUUACAAGUAUUAUUUCAGUAUGCCACAGGGAUUCUUUAGUGUUAUUUGACCCUGGUUCCAUUUAAUCAUAUGUGUCAUCAUACUUUGCUUGUUAUUUGGAUAUUCCCCAUGAUUCUUUAGUUGUGUCUGUUCAUGUAUCUACACCGGUGGGUGAUUCUAUUAUUAUGGACCAUGUGUAUCAGUCGUGUGUGGUGGCUAUUGGGGUAUGAGAUGAGGGUUGAUCUUUUACUACUUAGCAUGGUUGAUUUUGACGUGAUUUUUGCCAUGGAUUGGUUGUCACCAUGUCACGCUAUUCUUGAUUGUCACGCUAAGACUGUGACGUUGACGAUACUGGGGUUGCCUAGGUUGAGUAGAGAGGUUCCCUAGAUUAUGUUCCGAGUAGGGUGAUUUCAUACUUAAAGUCUCAAUAGAUAGUUGAGAAGGGGUGUCUGGCGUACUUGGCCUUUGUGAUGGGCGUUAGUGCUGACACUCCUACCGUGGAGUCAGUUCUGGUAAUGAGAGAAUUCUCAGAUAUGUUUCCAGUAAACCUGUCGGGCAUGCCACCCAAUAGGGACAUUGAUUUUGGUAUUGAUCUGGUGUCAGUCACUCUACCCAUCUCUAUUUCAUCGUAUCGUAUGGCACCUAUAGAGUUGAAGGAGCUGAAGGAACAACUUUAAGGUUGCUUGAUAAGGGCUUCAUCAGGCCUAGUGUGUCUCCGUGGGAUGCGCCGGUUCAUUUUGUGAAGAAGAAGGAUAUACUAUGAGGAUGUUUAUUGACUACAGCCAGUUAAGCAAGGUUACAUUUAAUAACAAGUACCCACUACUGCGCACUUCUUUGAUCAACUUUAGGGUGCUAGAGUGUUCUCGAAGAUUCAUUUAAGGUCGGGGUGCUAUCACCUGAAGAUCCGGGAUUCAGACAUUCUGAAGACGGCUUUCAUGAUUAGCUAUGGUCGCUAUGACUUUCUGGUGAUGUCUUUUGGGCUGACGAAUGCCCCAACAACCUUUAUGCACUUGAUAAACAAUGUGUUUCAACCGUAUCUUGAUUCUUUCAUCAUUAUAUUUAUUGAUGAUAUAUUGAUGUAUUCUCACAGCCUGGAGGAUCAUGUACAACACUUGAGGAUGAUUCUCCAGAUUUUGAGGGAGGAGAAGCUAUAUGAUAAAUUCUCUAAGUGUGAGUUUUGGCUUGAUUCGGUGGCAUUUUUGGGGAACAUGGUGUCCAGUAAGGGGAUUAAGGUAGACCCAAAGAAGAUUUUGGCAAUUUAGAGUUGGCCUAGUCCGUCUACUGCUACUGAGAUCCAGAGUUUCCCUGGUUUGGUCGGGUAUUAUCACCAUUCUGUGGAGGGUUUCUCGUCCAUGGCAACCCCAUUGAAUCGAUUGACCCAGAAGGGUGCCCCAUUCAGGUGGUCUGAUGAAUGAUGGAGAGCUUUCACAAGUUCAAGACUACUUUGACUACAACUCCAUUUCUGGUUUUACCUUCAGAUCAGGUCUUAUACUAUUUAUUAUGAUGCAUCAUAGAUUAGCAUUGGAUGUGUAUUGAUGUAGGAAGAUAGAGUUAUUUCUUAUGCUUCGCGUUAGUUGAAGCCCCAUGCGAAGAACUAACAUGUUCAUUAUUUGGAGUUGGCAGCCAUUGUUCACGCGUUGAAGAAGAUUUGGAGGCAUUAUCUUUAGGGUGUGUCAUAUGAGGUAUUCACGGAUCGUAGGAGUCUUCAGCACUUAUUCAAGCAAAAGAAUCUGAACUUGAGGCAGUAGAGGUGGUAAGAACUACUAAAAGACUAUGAUAUUACCAUUCUUUAUUACCCAAGAAAGGCCAAUGUGGUGGCUUAUGCCUUGAGUAGGAAGGCUAAGAAUAUGGGAAGCCUUGCUUAUAUUCUAGUCAGGGAGAGACUGUUAGCAUUGGAUGUUCAGGCUUUGGCCAAUCACUUGGUGAGUUUGGAUAUUUUAGAGCCUAGUCGUGUUCUUGCUUCAUGGUUUUACGGUCUUCUUUGUUUUAGCGCAUCAAGGCACAUUAGUACGAUGAUCCCACUUGCUUGUCCUGAAGGACAUGGUGCAACACGAUGAUGCUAAAAAGGUUACAAUAGGACAUUAUGGGGUAUUGAGGAUGCAGGGUUGGAUCUGUGUUACAAAUGUGGAUGGGUUACAAGAGUUGAUACUUGAGAAAGCCCACAAUUCACGGUAUUCCAUUCAUCCAGAUGCCGUGAAGAUGUAUCAAGAUUUGAGGCAGCACUAUUGGUGGUGGAGAAUGAAGAAAGAUAUUUUUAGUAUGUUGCUCGGUGUUUGAAUUGUCAGCAGGUGAAGUAUAAAAUUAGAGACCCGGUGGUUUGAUUCAAAGGCUUGAUAUUCCGAAAUGGAAGUGGGAGCAUAUCACCAUGGAUUUCGUAGUUGGACUUCCACGGACCUUGAAGAAAUAUGAUUCAAUAUGGGUUAUUGUGGAUAGAUUGACCAAGUCUACAUAUUUUAUUCCAGUUCUGACUACCUACUCUUUGGAGCAGCUGGCUCGAAUUUACAUUCAUGAUAUUGUUCGCCUUCAUGGUGUGCCUAUGCCUAUUAUCUCGGAUCGAGGCACUCAAUUUACAUCAUUGUUUUGGAGAGCGGUGCAGCAAGAGUUGGGCAUAUAGGUAGAGCCGAGUAUAAUAAUUCAUCCCCAGAUGGACGAGCAGUCCGAGGCACUAUUCAGAUCUUGGAGGACAUGUUACGGGCCUAUGUCAUUGAUUUUAGAGGUUCAUGGGAUCAGUUUCUUCCAUUAGCAGAAUUUGCCUACAAAAAAAGCUUAUUUGAGUAUCCAAGUGUCUCCUUAUGAGGCCUUGUAUUGGAGGAGAUGUCGGUCUCCAGUUGGUUGGUUCGAGCCUAGGGAGGCUAGGUUGUUGGGCAUUGAUUUGGUCUGUGAUGCCUUGGAGAAGGUGAAAUUGAUCCAGGAGCGGCUCUGUAUAGCACAAUCUAGGCAAAAGCAUUAUGCUAAUAGGAAGGUUCGUGAUAUUUUAUAUAUGGCGGGUGAGAAGGCUUUGCUCAGAGUUUCGCCCAUGAAGGGCGUGAUGAGGUUCGGGAAGAAGGGCAACUUGAGCCCUCAGUAUAUUGGUGCUUUUGAGGUGCUUCAGAGGGUUAGAGAGGUGGCCUACAGACUUGAAUUACCACCUAUUCUAUCAAGUUUUUUGUCCAUGUCCAAUCCUCACUCAAUAGUGAGUGGAAACGGUCAUUGAUAUAAUAGUACCCAACAGUAGUCGGGGUCGAAUUCUACAGGGAGUUUGUAAGGGGUGUUAGAGUAGAUACUUGACGAGAGCACGUGAAACAACUUAAUUGCACUUCCAAACAAAGGGUGGUUGUUUUCCAAUUCUAAAAUUUACACUAACAAAUUUAAACUAAUUAGAUGAAACUAGAAAGCGAAUACUUGUUUUUGAUGUUUCAAAUCAAAUGGGAAAAGCCUAGAGAUGUAACCUUCACCUAGGUGUUACCCUAAUGGGUGAAUCGCGUAAAUACUUGUUUUGUUGAUCGGAGUUUAUUAUAACUCUCAACUCUCAAUUACCCACUUAAUACCUCUUGGUUAUAUAGUGGUUAUGCCCAAAUUAGCUUUCUCAAGUCCAAUUGGGUGUCAAUUCAAACAAUUGAUAUGAGCGCAAGUCGGGUUUUUUCUAUCUCUAGUUCAAACUCUAUAAUUAGACUAGCCAAAACCUUAACUAUCCCAAUUUUUUGUUAGCCAAGUUUCCUAGACUAAGUCCCUAGUUCUCAAGCAAGGACGGUUUUUCCUAUCUCUAGUUCAAACCCUGUAAUUAGAUUAGCCAAAACCUUAACUAUCCCAAUUUCUUGUUAGCUAAGUUUUCCUAGACUAAGUCCUUAUUUCUCAAGCAAGGACUUAGUCAAAUAGGCAAGAAUCAAUAUUUGCAACCACUAAUUCUAAAAAUAAUGCAUAAAAAGGGUAAACAAUAAAUAACCAAUCAUAAAAAAGCACUAAAAUUAAUUACCCAUAGGGUUUACACACUAGGGUUGGGUCACAAUCUUAGAGAAAAUCUAGCUACUCAUGCUAGGAAGUGAAGAAAACAAAAGAAGAAUAAAAAUAAGGAGGAGGAGGAGGAGGAGGAUAAAGAAGAAGAAGAAGAAGAAGANACGAGACGACGNNNNNNNNNNNNNNNNNNNNNNNNNAGAGAGAGAGAGAGAGAGAGAGAGAGAGAGAGAGAGAGAGAGAGAGAGAGAGAGAGAGAGAGAGAGAGAGAGAGAGAGAGAGAGAGAGAGAGAAGAAGAAGAAGAAGAAGAAGAAGAAGAAGAAGAAGAAGUUAUUAAAGCCAUAAUCUAAGAUUAAAUGAUAAAAUAAUGAUUUUUCACCAAAAAUAGUCACAACUUCCCCCAAAACAGCAAAAUAUAACCACUACAGCUCAUUACAAUUCAAAACUUGCCCUAAAAAGCAUUUCCCAUCUAUUUAUAGUGUCCUAAAAUUCACUAACAAAAAUGCUCUUCGAGAGGCUCUGCGGCCGCACAAUUCCAUGUGCAAAGAAAUCUGCAGCCUCACAAUUCCAACUGCAGCUGCACUUCAUCUUUUGCGGUCACACUUUUCCAUGUGCGAACCGCAUUUUGGAAAGGCUUCCUACUUGGUCUUUUUGCACCUUCUCUGAACUUUUUCCAAUCUUGUCAGUGCAACCAUCUUUUGUGGCUCCCGCUUUUUAGAAACUCCUCUGAGGCUAAAGCGUCUUCUUUGCGGCCACAAGUGUAUUUCUACGGACCGCACUUUCUUCUACGAUCGCAGAAUUACUUCUGCGAACCGCAUUUCGGCCUGAUGCACUCCUUCUUGCCUUAUUGAGCUGGAAUACUACUUUUUGAGUUCGAAUUCUUCGUUAAGGUCCAAUCCUCCAACGUGCCUGCAAUUUGUACAAUUUCAUUAGUUUUAGGAACAAGAAUCAAUACUUUUGGACUAAAACUAAAGCAAGAAGGUACUAAUAAGUUGUUAAAAUCUACACUUAUCAACUCCCCCAAACGUAAGUCUUGUCAUCAAGCAAAUAAAUUAGUUCCCACCUUCACUAAGUGAAGAUCAUUUCAAAAGAGUCAAUUGUAAGCCAUUCAUACUCAGUUGGGACCAACAAUUACUCAUAAUACUCAUGCAUUACAACAAGGUGACAAACCUUAUGUUAUGUGCAUAUAAGUCUAGUGUAACAUUUGAGCAUCAAGAAUUGACUUCACUCAUCAAGGACUCUUGUUCUAUCAUAUAGAUCAUGGUGGACUCCAAACUCUUCCUCCUAUACCUUCCAUUUUCCAUUCUCACUUCAAGAAUUAUCACUCAAUGACUAGAGCAAUAAAGGAUUCACUCUUCUGUCACAAAGGAAUGUAACAAGUAAGACUUCAAAUACCAUAGGCUUGCCCCUCAUGUAGAUCACCACUAAUGUAAGCUCACUCGGUUCAAAAUCAAGUAGAACUUCUUUAGGGUUGUAAUGAAGGCUUUUGGAUUGGGGUAGGAUAUCAUAUGGGAUAAGUAGUUACAACCUUUCUUAAGCACUCAACCUUUUCAUUUCUUGGCUCACAUUUACUAACUCUUAGAGGCAUUUCCUUUCCCUGGGGGCUAGAGAGACUUGAUAUCACUCUUUAUUGUUCAUUUCAUUCUUUUUCUCCCUUGAUGCUCAUACUAGAGAUAGUUGCCUCUUUUUGAUUUCAUCAACCUUCCUUUUUAUUUCCUUUUUGGCAUUUUUCUUUUUGUUCUUUUCUUUUCUUUCCUUCUCUUUUCAUAGAGAUCAUUUCUUCUCUCUUUUUGGUGCCUUGAUACCUCUUUUAGAUUCCUCAACUUUUCCCCCCAAACUUAUGCCUUAAGCCACUUAUUUCAUAAGAGUGUUAAGGAAGGUCCUAGUGCCAAGAGAGGAUUAUCGACUAAACGGGUAAAGGCCUGUAGCAUGGUUACCAAUAGAGAAAGGCUAAAGGCUCAAAGGGGUUGACUAGGGAUAACAAGCAUUAGGUGAUAAUAGAAAGUUCAAACGAACCAAAGAAAUCAGGGACUAUGCACUUUGAAGGCAGCAACAAAAUAAGGCGGUUGUGGAAAAUUCUCAGAGUAAUUCGUUUUGCUUGCUUUGUGAUAUCCAGGCUUGGUCCUCGACCCCCGAACGCGAACCCGACUUAAUACUUUGGGCUUUUACUUAGACUUCAAAGUUUCAAAUCACUCGAAUUAGCUCCAUAACAUCUACAUCACUCGAAAUCACUCUUACUAGGCAUAAAACACGCAAUAAGUACAAAACACUAGCGAUUAAAGCUCAAAAUCAAUUAAAGUGCAGUAAAUUUGAGUGUGAUAAGCGACUAAAACACGUAAUUACAGCCUACCUCAAACCGUGCAAAUCUCUACUCCAAUAAUCCCUUGCCUCGCGACUCGGCCUCUGAAUUCUUCUAAUCUAGCCACACAUAAUUCAAUAAAAUCAAUACUAGCUAUAGGAAUCAAUUCCUUAUGACUUCUUUAACAAAAAUCAUAAAGUCAACUCAGAAAAUCAACCUCUAGUCCACGUCUCAAAAUCCGAAGAAAUUAACAAAAUCCAAACACCCAUCAACCACGAGUCCAACCAUACCAAAAUUACUCAAUCCGAUCACAAUUCAACCUUCAAAUCAUCAAAUUAAAGCCUAUGAAGUUUGUACAAUUUUCCCCAAUUUUUACAACCUAAAACACUAAUUAAAUGAUAAAAACAAUAAUAAAUUCUUGUAUAUUAACCAAAUACGAGCUAGAAUCACUUACCUUAAUCAAUUCCUUGAAAAUCCCUCCAAGAAUCGCCUCAAUCCGGGCUCCUAAAGUCUAAUCAUGAAAUUUUACUCUAACCUUUAUUUUUGGAAACUUAUAUUCUGCCCAGAUGCCUCUUCUUCACGAACGCGGAAAAUACCUCGCUUUUAUGAAGCACAAAAUAUUAUGGUGCAAAGAUUCCUCUUCACGAACGUGAAUAACCCCACGCGAUUUAGUGACUCCCCAGGCUCAACAUUCGCAGACACUCUCUCACAAAGGCAUAACACAAAAUCCCCAGCUUCCUAGAACACUCUUUGUGAUCGCGAUCCUCCACUCGUGAUCGCAUAUAAGGAAACCAGCACAGCAAAAAUCAGAGGCCUCCAAAGUUCCGAAAUGCGCCAAACAUGAACCAAAUCA